UCUGUUUAACUUUUUCUCUAUGAUUGAAAAUUGGUUUCAGUUGAUAUAUAUCUGCACUUAUAUAGUUAUAUGGUCUGAUUUGCAGUUUAAUUAUGGCUGCAAAAGACCAGGACCCAUAGAAUUUAGUUAUAUUAUUGCCACUGCCUCCUACUCUGCUCCCUUUGCAGUAUAUCAUCAAUAAUAAAAGCCUAUGGCGACAUGUAUGCAGAACCUUCAGCAAGGAAAGCUGGCCAUCAAUCUGCAAAUAAAGGACAGUGGCUACAGGAAUACCAAUUGCUUCUGGGCCUGUUUGUUUCUCCAUCUGGAUGGACCUUUUCGAUGAAGAUGAGAGUUUUGUUUGUUUAAGCACUAAAAGUGCAACUUGGAUCAUCCGGAUGACUUUUGGAAAUUUAGGUUUAGUUUUAAAGUUCAUUCAGCUGAACCAAUUUGGAUCAUUUGAAUGGAGAUGGUUCAUUCAAAAUGGUAUAAUGUCUAUUAUAUCCCUAAUGUAAUUCACAAAUUACCUAAACAUAAUAUCAUUUUUGUCACAAACGAAAACUGACAAAACUACAAAAACAAUUUUUCCCAUGCUAAAAAAUUAUUUUUUCACGUCAAAACCCCAAAACACAUUUUUCCGCUAAAAUUGCAAAAAAAUGUUUUCCCGUCAAAAUUGCAAAAACGUGUUUUUCCACAAAAACUGAAAAAUAUGUUUUCAUGCCAAAAUCACAAAAAAAAUAUUUUCACGCCAACACCCCAAAAUACAUUUUUCCGCCAAAACACAAAAAUGUGUUUUCCCGCCAAAGUCGCAAAACGUGUUUUCCCGCCAAAAUUGCAAAAAUGUGUUUUUCCGCCAAAACCAAAAAAAAAAAAGUGUUUUCUCGCCAAAACCGAAAAUUUCUAUUUUCCCGCCAAAACCAAAAAAUCUCGUUUUCCCACGAAAAUCGUAAAAAUGUGUUCCCGCCAAACACGCGUUUUCUCGCCAAACCGCAAAAACGCGUUUUCUCGCCAAAACCGCAAAAACGCGUUUUUCCGCCAAAAUUGUAAAAGCAAAUUUUUCCCGCCAAAAUCGCAAAAAACGUGUUUCUCUCCAAAAACGCAAAAAACGCGUUUUCCCAUAAAAAAUGUGUUUUCCGCCAAAACUGCAAAAACGCGUUUUCCCGCCAAAACCGCAAAAAGCGUUUUUCCGCCAAAAUCGCAAAAACGUGGUUCCCUCCAAAACCGCAAAAACGUGUUCUCGCCAAAAACGUGUUUUCCCGCCAAAACUGCAAAAACUUGUUU
Long non-coding RNA from Brassica rapa (field mustard), 1257 nucleotides. RefSeq lists it as uncharacterized. NCBI's taxonomy places the organism in Eukaryota, Viridiplantae, Streptophyta, Magnoliopsida, Brassicales, Brassicaceae. The record is from RefSeq and is a predicted model, not a curated record.